CCGAGUACCGGUGCCCUUUGGGUGCCUACUCCCACCAUGUGUGAACCUUUUUUGUUGCUUUGGCGGGCCGGUAGUUCUGCCCUCUGGCCUCGGCUGGAGAGCGCCCGCCAGAGGAUCUUUCAAACCCGUCUCAACGUGGAAUCUGAGUCCAGUCUUAAAAAGUCA
Molecule: unclassified non-coding RNA, 165 nt
Filed under: uncultured Dothideomycetes
Lineage: Eukaryota; Fungi; Ascomycota; Dothideomycetes
Description: sequence contains ITS1
Source: RNAcentral